AGGUUUGUAGCUCAGUGGUUAGAGCAAUCGACUCAUAAUUGAUUGGUCGGGGGUUCAAAUCCCUCCAAACCUA
RNAcentral lists this transfer RNA (73 nucleotides) under Candidatus Nasuia deltocephalincola. Its description in RNAcentral is "Candidatus Nasuia deltocephalinicola tRNA-Met". It matches the Rfam family "tRNA". From Rfam's summary of the family: Transfer RNA (tRNA) molecules are approximately 80 nucleotides in length. Their secondary structure includes four short double-helical elements and three loops (D, anti-codon, and T loops). Further hydrogen bonds mediate the characteristic L-shaped molecular structure. tRNAs have two regions of fundamental functional importance: the anti-codon, which is responsible for specific mRNA codon recognition, and the 3' end, to which the tRNAs corresponding amino acid is attached (by aminoacyl-tRNA synthetases). tRNAs cope with the degeneracy of the genetic code in two manners: having more than one tRNA (with a specific anti-codon) for a particular amino acid; and 'wobble' base-pairing, i.e. permitting non-standard base-pairing at the 3rd anti-codon position. Lineage: Bacteria; Pseudomonadati; Pseudomonadota; Betaproteobacteria. The record is from RNAcentral.